Molecule: unclassified non-coding RNA, 411 nt
Filed under: uncultured Bartonella sp.
Lineage: Bacteria; Pseudomonadati; Pseudomonadota; Alphaproteobacteria; Hyphomicrobiales; Bartonellaceae
Description: partial 16S-23S ribosomal RNA intergenic spacer
Source: RNAcentral
UUUGAUAAGCGUGAGGUCGGAGGUUCAAGUCCUCCCAGGCCCACCAAUUUACCUAUCCAUUUGCCUUUAUCUGUUUAUUUGCCGAUUUAUCGGUCCAUUGAAUUUAAGUGUUGGUAGCAGUUUUAUAAUGAUGAGAAAUCAUGCUUAUAAAAGAACUCCUUAUAAAAGGCUUGUUUUUAAAAUGUGACGCUUAUCCAUUUCGCUUAGGCAAGAGAAACUUCAAGCGGUUCAAAUACAAAAGGCUUUAAGUUUUGCAAAACACUUUGAAUUUUGCAAAACACUUUGAAUUUUGCAAAACACUUUGAAUUUUGCAAAACACUUUGAAUUUUAAAGUGAUCCAAGUUCGUGAUCUCGAAUUUAAAAGUUUCGAAUGCUUUAUCCUUUUUUGGGGGCCGUAGCUCAGCUGGGAAA